AUGAACGCUAGCGGCAGGCCUAAUACAUGCAAGUCGAACGAGAUUGAGGAGCUUGCUCUUCAUGAAAGUGGCGCACGGGUGCGUAACGCGUAUGCAACCUACCUUAAUCAGGGGGAUAGCCUCUCGAAAGAGAGAUUAACACCGCAUAAAAUCACAGUCCGGCAUCGGAUAAUGAUCAAAUAUUUAUAGGAUUAAGAUGGGCAUGCGUGACAUUAGUUUGUUGGUGAGGUAACGGCUCACCAAGACUACGAUGUCUAGGGGAUCUGAGAGGAUGACCCCCCACACUGGUACUGAGACACGGACCAGACUCCUACGGGAGGCAGCAGUAAGGAAUAUUGGUCAAUGGGGGCAACCCUGAACCAGCCAUGCCGCGUGCAGGAAGACGGCCCUACGGGUUGUAAACUGCUUUUAUACGGGAAUAAACCCCUUUACGUGUAAAGGGUUGAAUGUACUGUAAGAAUAAGGAUCGGCUAACUCCGU
Molecule: ribosomal RNA, 480 nt
Filed under: uncultured bacterium
Lineage: Bacteria
Description: bacterial SSU rRNA
Rfam family: Bacterial small subunit ribosomal RNA
Source: RNAcentral